AAAAAAACCCGCUUUCGCGGGUUG
Molecule: small RNA, 24 nt
Filed under: Pantoea ananatis
Lineage: Bacteria; Pseudomonadati; Pseudomonadota; Gammaproteobacteria; Enterobacterales; Erwiniaceae
Source: RNAcentral